This 604-nucleotide ribosomal RNA is filed under the name uncultured fungus. RNAcentral describes it as "eukaryotic LSU rRNA". The stretch from base 205 to 358 matches the Rfam family "5.8S ribosomal RNA". Lineage: Eukaryota; Fungi. The record is from RNAcentral.
AGUAAAAGUCGUAACAAGGUCUCCGUUGGUGAACCAGCGGAGGGAUCAUUACAGAGUUAUCCAACUCCCAAACCCAUGUGAACUUAUCUCUUUGUUGCCUCGGCGCAAGCUACCCGGGACCUCGCGCCCCGGGCGGCCCGCCGGCGGACAAACCAAACUCUGUUAUCUUAGUUGAUUAUCUGAGUGUCUUAUUUAAUAAGUCAAAACUUUCAACAACGGAUCUCUUGGUUCUGGCAUCGAUGAAGAACGCAGCGAAAUGCGAUAAGUAAUGUGAAUUGCAGAAUUCAGUGAAUCAUCGAAUCUUUGAACGCACAUUGCGCCCAUUAGUAUUCUAGUGGGCAUGCCUGUUCGAGCGUCAUUUCAACCCCUAAGCACAGCUUAUUGUUGGGCCUCUACGUUUCGUAGUGCCUCAAAGACAUUGGCGGAGUGGCAGUAGUCCUCUGAGCGUAGUAAUUCUUUAUCUCGCUUUUGUUAGGUGCUGCCCCCCCGGCCGUAAAACCCCCAAUUUUUUCUGGUUGACCUCGGAUCAGGUAGGAAUACCCGCUGAACUUAAGCAUAUCAAUAAGCGGAGGAAAAGAAACCAACAGGGAUUGCCUUAGUAACG